GAUGAACGCUGGCGGCGUGCCUAAUACAUGCAAGUCGAGCGAACAGAUAAGGAGCUUGCUCCUUUGACGUUAGCGGCGGACGGGUGAGUAACACGUGGAUAACCUACCUAUAAGACUGGGAUAACUUCGGGAAACCGGAGCUAAUACCGGAUAACAUAUUGAACCGCAUGGUUCAAUAGUGAAAGGCGGCUUUGCUGUCACUUAUAGGUGGAUCCGCGCCGUAUUAGCUAGUUGGUAAGGUAACGGCUUACCAAGGCAACGAUACGUAGCCGACCUGAGAGGGUGAUCGGCCACACUGGAACUGAGACACGGUCCAGACUCCUACGGGAGGCAGCAGUAGGGAAUCUUCCGCAAAGGGCGAAAGCCUGACGGAGCAACGCCGCGUGAGUGAUGAAGGUCUUCGGAUCGUAAAACUCUGUUAUCAGGGAAGAACAAAUGUGUAAGUAACUGUGCACAUCUUGACGGUACCUGAUCAGAAAGCCACGGCUAACUACGUG
This 497-nucleotide ribosomal RNA is filed under the name uncultured bacterium. RNAcentral's name for it is "partial 16S ribosomal RNA". It matches the Rfam family "Bacterial small subunit ribosomal RNA", at positions 28 to 507 of the family's 1533-position model. The record is from RNAcentral.